CUGAGUUUACAACUCCCAAACCCAUGUGAACAUACCUAUCGUUGCUUCGGCGGGACCGCCCCGGCGCACUCUGCUGCCCGGAACCAGGCGCCCGCCGGAGACCAUCAAACUCUUGUUUUAUUAGUGAAUCUCUGAGUUAUCAUACAAAUGAAUCA
This 155-nucleotide unclassified non-coding RNA is filed under the name uncultured Hypocreales. RNAcentral describes it as "sequence contains ITS1". The record is from RNAcentral. Lineage: Eukaryota; Fungi; Ascomycota; Sordariomycetes; Hypocreales.